UGAGGAAUAUUGGUCAAUGGACGAGAGUCUGAACCAGCCAAGUAGCGUGCAGGAUGACGGCCCUAUGGGUUGUAAACUGCUUUUGUUUGGGAAUAAUCGACAUUACGUGUAAUGUUUUGCAUGUACCAUUCGAAUAAGGACCGGCUAAUUCCGUGCCAGCAGCCGCGGUAAUACGGAAGGUCCAGGCGUUAUCCGGAUUUAUUGGGUUUAAAGGGAGUGUAGGCGGUUGGUUAAGCGUGUUGUGAAAUGUAGAUGCUCAACAUCUGACUUGCAGCGCGAACUGGCUGACUUGAGUACACACAACGUAGGCGGAAUUCAUGGUGUAGCGGUGAAAUGCUUAGAUAUCAUGAAAAACUCCGAUUGCGAAGGCAGCUUACGGGAGUGUUACUGACGCUUAAGCUCGAAGGUGCGGGUAUCGAACAGG
RNAcentral lists this ribosomal RNA (424 nucleotides) under Verrucomicrobiota bacterium. Its description in RNAcentral is "Verrucomicrobia bacterium partial 16S ribosomal RNA". It matches the Rfam family "Bacterial small subunit ribosomal RNA", at positions 355 to 776 of the family's 1533-position model. The record is from RNAcentral. Lineage: Bacteria; Pseudomonadati; Verrucomicrobiota.